RNAcentral lists this ribosomal RNA (459 nucleotides) under uncultured bacterium. Its description in RNAcentral is "partial 16S ribosomal RNA". It matches the Rfam family "Bacterial small subunit ribosomal RNA", at positions 338 to 795 of the family's 1533-position model. The record is from RNAcentral.
CCUACGGGAGGCUGCAGUGAGGAAUAUUGGUCAAUGGCCGCAGGGCUGAACCAGCCAAGUCGCGUGGGGGAUGACGGUCCUAUGGAUUGUAAACCUCUUUUGUCAGGGAGCAAAGGGCGCCACGUGUGGCGCUUUGCGAGUACCUGAAGAAAAAGCAUCGGCUAACUCCGUGCCAGCAGCCGCGGUAAUACGGAGGAUGCGAGCGUUAUCCGGAUUUAUUGGGUUUAAAGGGUGCGCAGGCGGAAUGUCAAGUCAGCGGUAAAAUUUCGGGGCUCAACCCCGUCGUGCCGUUGAAACUGGCGUUCUUGAGUGAGCGAGAAGUAUGCGGAAUGCGUGGUGUAGCGGUGAAAUGCAUAGAUAUCACGCAGAACUCCGAUUGCGAAGGCAGCAUACCGGCGCUCAACUGACGCUCAUGCACGAAAGCGUGGGUAUCGAACAGGAUUAGAUACCCGGGUAGUC